GGUAUCAGAAGUGCGAAUGCUGACAUAAGUAACGAUAAAGCGGGUGAAAAGCCCGCUCGCCGGAAGACCAAGGGUUCCUGUCCAACGUUAAUCGGGGCAGGGUGAGUCGACCCCUAAGGCGAGGCCGAAAGGCGUAGUCGAUGGGAAACAGGUUAAUAUUCCUGUACUUGGUGUUACUGCGAAGGGGGGACGGAGAAGGCUAUGUUGGCCGGGCGACGGUUGUCCCGGUUUAAGCGUGUAGGCUGGUUUUCCAGGCAAAUCCGGAAAACUAAGGCUGAGGCGUGAUGACGAGGCACUACGGUGCUGAAGCAACAAAUGCCCUGCUUCCAGGAAAAGCCUCUAAGCAUCAGGUAACAUCAAAUCGUACCCCAAACCGACACAGGUGGUCAGGUAGAGAAUACCAAGGCGCUUGAGAGAACUCGGGUGAAGGAACUAGGCAAAAUGGUGCCGUAACUUCGGGAGAAGGCACGCUGAUAUGUAGGUGAAGUCCCUCGCGGAUGGAGCUGAAAUCAGUCGAAGAUACCAGCUGGCUGCAACUGUUUAUUAAAAACACAGCACUGUGCAAACACGAAAGUGGACGUAUACGGUGUGACGCCUGCCCGGUGCCGGAAGGUUAAUUGAUGGGGUCAGCGCAAGCGAAGCUCUUGAUCGAAGCCCCGGUAAACGGCGGCCGUAACUAUAACGGUCCUAAGGUAGCGAAAUUCCUUGUCGGGUAAGUUCCGACCUGCACGAAUGGCGUAAUGAUGGCCAGGCUGUCUCCACCCGAGACUCAGUGAAAUUGAACUCGCUGUGAAGAUGCAGUGUACCCGCGGCAAGACGGAAAGACCCCGUGAACCUUUACUAUAGCUUGACACUGAACAUUGAGCCUUGAUGUGUAGGAUAGGUGGGAGGCUUUGAAGUGUGGACGCCAGUCUGCAUGGAGCCGACCUUGAAAUACCACCCUUUAAUGUUUGAUGUUCUAACGUUGACCCGUAAUCCGGGUUGCGGACAGUGUCUGGUGGGUAGUUUGACUGGGGCGGUCUCCUCCUAAAGAGUAACGGAGGAGCACGAAGGUUGGCUAAUCCUGGUCGGACAUCAGGAGGUUAGUGCAAUGGCAUAAGCCAGCUUGACUGCGAGCGUGACGGCGCGAGCAGGUGCGAAAGCAGGUCAUAGUGAUCCGGUGGUUCUGAAUGGAAGGGCCAUCGCUCAACGGAUAAAAGGUACUCCGGGGAUAACAGGCUGAUACCGCCCAAGAGUUCAUAUCGACGGCGGUGUUUGGCACCUCGAUGUCGGCUCAUCACAUCCUGGGGCUGAAGUAGGUCCCAAGGGUAUGGCUGUUCGCCAUUUAAAGUGGUACGCGAGCUGGGUUUAGAACGUCGUGAGACAGUUCGGUCCCUAUCUGCCGUGGGCGCUGGAGAACUGAGGGGGGCUGCUCCUAGUACGAGAGGACCGGAGUGGACGCAUCACUGGUGUUCGGGUUGUCAUGCCAAUGGCACUGCCCGGUAGCUAAAUGCGGAAGAGAUAAGUGCUGAAAGCAUCUAAGCACGAAACUUGCCCCGAGAUGAGUUCUCCCUGACUCCUUGAGAGUCCUGAAGGAACGUUGAAG
Molecule: ribosomal RNA, 1585 nt
Filed under: Escherichia coli
Lineage: Bacteria; Pseudomonadati; Pseudomonadota; Gammaproteobacteria; Enterobacterales; Enterobacteriaceae
Description: partial 23S ribosomal RNA
Rfam family: Bacterial large subunit ribosomal RNA
Source: RNAcentral